GUCUGCACAAACGGUGGAGCAUGUGGUUUAAUUCAAUACAACGCGUAAAACCUUAUCAGUCCUUAACAUAUGAAUCAACCUGUCCUUAAUGGGAUGAUACUUUCAUAUAGGUGCUGCAUGACUGUCGUCAUCUCGUGUCAU
This 141-nucleotide ribosomal RNA is filed under the name Buchnera aphidicola. Its description in RNAcentral is "partial 16S ribosomal RNA". It matches the Rfam family "Bacterial small subunit ribosomal RNA", at positions 919 to 1068 of the family's 1533-position model. The record is from RNAcentral. Lineage: Bacteria; Pseudomonadati; Pseudomonadota; Gammaproteobacteria; Enterobacterales; Erwiniaceae. RNAcentral also lists the same sequence under 6 other names.